AUGCUCACUUCGGCAGCACAUGUACUGAAACUGGAACAAUAUAGAGGAGAGUAGCGUAGCCCCUGCACAAGGAUGACAUGCAAGUUAGCGUAGCAUUCUAUAUUUAA
Hippopotamus amphibius kiboko is the source of this 107-nucleotide small nuclear RNA. Lineage: Eukaryota; Metazoa; Chordata; Mammalia; Artiodactyla; Hippopotamidae. The record is from RefSeq and is a predicted model, not a curated record.